CUUGUUGGUGGGGUGAUGGCCUACCAAGGCGACGACGGGUAGCCGGCCUGAGAGGGCGACCGGCCACACUGGGACUGAGACACGGCCCAGACUCCUACGGGAGGCAGCAGUGGGGAAUAUUGCGCAAUGGGCGGAAGCCUGACGCAGCGACGCCGCGUGGGGGAUGACGGCCUUCGGGUUGUAAACCUCUUUCGGCCCCGACGAAGCGUGAGUGACGGUAGGGGUAGAAGAAGCACCGGCCAACUACGUGCCAGCAGCCGCGGUAAUACGUAGGGUGCGAGCGUUGUCCGGAAUUAUUGGGCGUAAAGAGCUCGUAGGCGGUCUGUCGCGUCGGUCGUGAAAACUUGGGGCUUAACCCUGAGCUUGCGGUCGAUACGGGCAUGACUGGAGUUCGGCAGGGGAGACUGGAAUUCCUGGUGUAGCGGUGAAAUGCGCAGAUAUCAGGAGGAACACCGGUGGCGAAGGCGGGUCUCUGGGCCGAUACUGACGCUGAGGAGCGAAAGCGUGGGGAGCGAACAGGAUUAGAUACCCUGGUAGUCCACGCCGUAAACGGUGGGCGCUAGGUGUGGGGGCCAUUCCACGGUCUCUGUGCCGCAGCUAACGCAUUAAGCGCCCCGCCUGGGGAGUACGGCCGCAAGGCUAAAACUCAAAGGAAUUGACG
Molecule: ribosomal RNA, 661 nt
Filed under: uncultured Actinomycetes bacterium
Lineage: Bacteria; Bacillati; Actinomycetota; Actinomycetes
Description: SSU rRNA
Rfam family: Bacterial small subunit ribosomal RNA
Source: RNAcentral